GAGAGUUUGAUUCUGGCUCAGAACGAACGCUGGCGGCGUGGAUAAGACAUGCAAGUCGAGCGCUGAUUACAGGGUAGCAAUAUUCUGUGGUCGGAGCGGCGCAAGGGUGCGUAACACGUGGGUAAUCUGCCAUGAAGUUUGGGAUAACUUGCUGAAAGGCGAGCUAAUACCGGAUGUGACAACUGGAAGGCAUCUUUUGGUUGUCAAAGUUGGGGACCGUAAGGCCUGACGCUUCAUGAUGAGCCCGCGGCCUAUCAGCUAGUUGGUGAGGUAACGGCUCACCAAGGCUAAGACGGGUAGCUGGUCUGAGAGGACGACCAGCCACACUGGAACUGAGACACGGUCCAGACACCUACGGGUGGCAGCAGUCGAGAAUUUUUCACAAUGGGCGCAAGCCUGAUGGAGCGACGCCGCGUGGGGGAUGAAUGGCUUCGGCCCGUAAACCCCUGUCAUUUGCGAUCAAACCUCAUUAUUUAAAAGAUGAUGAGCUGAUAGUAGCGAAAGAGGAAGGGACGGCUAACUCUGUGCCAGCAGCCGCGGUAAUACAGAGGUCCCGAGCGUUGUUCGGAUUCACUGGGCGUAAAGGGUGCGUAGGUGGUGAGGUAAGUCGGAUGUGAAAGCUCGGAGCUCAACUCCGAAAUGGCAUUGGAAACUACCUUGCUCGAGGGUUGGAAGGGGGACUGGAAUGCUUGGUGUAGCAGUGAAAUGCGUAGAUAUCAAGCGGAACACCAGUGGCGAAGGCGAGUCCCUGGACAACUCCUGACACUGAGGCACGAAAGCUAGGGGAGCAAACAGGAUUAGAUACCCUGGUAGUCCUAGCCGUAAACGGUGCACGUUUGCUGUAAAAGGAAUCGACCCCUUUUGUGGCGUAGCCAACGCGUUAAACGUGCCGCCUGGGAAGUACGGUC
Molecule: ribosomal RNA, 908 nt
Filed under: uncultured bacterium
Lineage: Bacteria
Description: bacterial SSU rRNA
Rfam family: Bacterial small subunit ribosomal RNA
Source: RNAcentral